This 551-nucleotide ribosomal RNA is filed under the name uncultured organism. RNAcentral describes it as "bacterial SSU rRNA". It matches the Rfam family "Bacterial small subunit ribosomal RNA", at positions 25 to 622 of the family's 1533-position model. The record is from RNAcentral.
CAGGAUGAACGCUGGCGGUCUGCUUAACACAUGCAAGUCGAACGGGCUCUUCGGAGCUAGUGGCGGACGGGUGAGUAACGCGUGAGGAUCUGCCUUCAGGAGGGGGAUAACGACUGGAAACGGUCGCUAAUACCGCAUAUGCCUACGGGUGAAAGAUUUAUCGCCUGGAGAUGAACUCGCGUCAGAUUAGCUAGUUGGUGGGGUAAGAGCCUACCAAGGCGACGAUCUGUUGCUGGUCUGAGAGGAUGAUCAGCCACACUGGGACUGAGACACGGCCCAGACUCCUACGGGAGGCAGCAGUGGGGAAUUUUCCGCAAUGGGCGCAAGCCUGACGGAGCAAGACCGCGUGCGGGAUGACGGCCUAAUGGUUGUAAACCGGUUUUCUCUGGGAAGAUGAUGACGGUACCAGAGGAAUCAGCCUCGGUUAAACUCCGUGCCAGCAGCCGCGGUAAUACGGAGGAGGCAAGCGUUAUCCGGAAUUAUUGGGCGUAAAGCGUCCGUAGGUGGUUAUUCAAGUCUGCUGUCAAAGCGUGGGGCUUAACUCCAUAGAG